UCCCCAAGAUGGCGGCCGCUAAGGACAGUUGUGGCAAAGGAGAAAUGGCCACAGGGAAUGGGCGGCGGCUCCACCCGGGGAUUCCUGAGGCCGUGUUUGUGGAAGAUGUAGAUUCCUUCAUGAAACAGCCUGGGAAUGAGACUGCAGAUACAGUAUUAAAGAAGCUGGAUGAACAGUACCAGAAGUAUAAGUUUAUGGAACUCAAACUUGCUCGAAAGAAAAGAAGGCUAAAAGGUCAGAUUCCUGAAAUUAAACAGACUUUGGAAAUUCUAAAAUACAUGCAGAAGAUAAAAGAGUCCACCAACUCAAUGGAGACCAGAUUGUUACUGGCAGAUAACUUGUAUUGCAAAGCUUCAGUUCCUCCUACUGACAAAGUGUGUCUGUGGUUGGGGGCUAAUGUAAUGCUUGAAUAUGAUAUUGAUGAAGCUCAGGCAUUGUUGGAAAAGAAUUUAUCGACUGCCACGAAGAAUCUUGAUUCCCAUAAGGAAGACCUUGACUUUCUUCGAGAUCAAUUUACUACCACAGAAGUCAAUAUGGCCAGGGUUUAUAAUUGGGAUGUAAAAAGAAGAAACAAGGAUGAUUCUACCAAGAAUAAAGCAUAAUGCUGGCAAUUAAAAAUGUGGUUCCGUUUUCCAAACAUGUUAUCUUAAAUACCCCUUUAUCCUUACAGGUUGACAUAACUUUGAAUGUUUUAACAGCAAGAAUUUUAAGAAAAGAUAAACAUCAUUUUAUUUAUUUAUAAAAACAAAAUUAGUUUCAAAUAUUUUUGACAUUGUGGUUUUUUUCCACAUUUCUCAGCAAAGCUAAUGGUAUUUUAAUCAUUAUUUUUGCCUGUCAUAAGAAAACUCUUAGCUGAAAUGGCCGAAAACUGUGAGACAUGCUAUGGAAGCUGAAUGUCGGACACUAGCACGUUUACUUUUUCCCUUUCUAAUUGGCUUAUGUUACUCCCACUUGAUGUGGUUAAACCAUUUUAGAG
RNA transcript from Macaca mulatta (Rhesus monkey), 976 nucleotides. It is a transcript of the gene named prefoldin subunit 3 pseudogene, with no coding region annotated. The record is from RefSeq and is a predicted model, not a curated record. Lineage: Eukaryota; Metazoa; Chordata; Mammalia; Primates; Cercopithecidae.